RNAcentral lists this non-coding RNA (29 nucleotides) under Homo sapiens (human). The record is from RNAcentral. Lineage: Eukaryota; Metazoa; Chordata; Mammalia; Primates; Hominidae.
UGGGCGCUGCAGAAACCCCCUUUUCAUGC